This 74-nucleotide non-coding RNA is filed under the name Candidatus Levyibacteriota. The record is from RNAcentral.
AGUAUAUAUUUGGUAAUCGCCGUGAAAGUCGGCGGAACUGCCGGUACUGUAAUAUCCAGAAAACAAUAUAUACU